CCAGACUCCUACGGGAGGCAGCAGUGGGGAAUAUUGGGCAAUGGAGGCAACUCUUACCCAGCAAUGCCGCGUGAAUGAAGAAGGUCUUCGGAUUGUAAAGUUCUUUAAUUGGGGACGAAAAAAAUGACGGUACCCAAGGAAUAAGCACCGGCUAACUACGUGCCAGCAGCCGCGGUAAUACGUAGGGUGCAAGCGUUAUCCGGAUUUAUUGGGCGUAAAGGGCUCGUAGGCGGUUCGUCGCGUCCGGUGUGAAAGUCCAUCGCUUAACGGUGGAUCCGCGCCGGGUACGGGCGGGCUUGAGUGCGGUAGGGGAGACUGGAAUUCCCGGUGUAACGGUGGAAUGUGUAGAUAUCGGGAAGAACACCAAUGGCGAAGGCAGGUCUCUGGGCCGUUACUGACGCUGAGGAGCGAAAGCGUGGGGAGCGAACAGGAUUAGAUACCCCAGUAA
Molecule: ribosomal RNA, 448 nt
Filed under: uncultured bacterium
Lineage: Bacteria
Description: partial 16S ribosomal RNA
Rfam family: Bacterial small subunit ribosomal RNA
Source: RNAcentral